RNAcentral lists this ribosomal RNA (253 nucleotides) under uncultured bacterium. RNAcentral describes it as "partial 16S ribosomal RNA". It matches the Rfam family "Bacterial small subunit ribosomal RNA", at positions 524 to 776 of the family's 1533-position model. The record is from RNAcentral.
UACGUAGGCAGCGAGCGUUGUUCGGAGUUACUGGGCGUAAAGGGUGUGUAGGCGGUUGCUUAAGUUUGGUGUGAAAUCUCCCGGCUCAACUGGGAGGGUGCGCCGAAUACUGAGUGACUCGAGUGCGGGAGAGGAGAGUGGAAUUCCUGGUGUAGCGGUGAAAUGCGUAGAUAUCUGGAGGAACACCGGUGGCGAAGGCGGCAUUCUGGACCGAUAUUGACGCUGAGGAGCGAAAGCCAGGGGAGCAAACGGG